UACGAAGGUCCCGAGCGUUGUUCGGAAUCACUGGGCGUAAAGGGAGCGUAGGCGGCGCGGUAAGUCAGAUGUGAAAUCCCGGGGCUCAACCCCGGAACUGCAUCCGAUACUGCCGUGCUAGAGUGAUGGAGAGGUAGCUGGAAUUCUUGGUGUAGCAGCGAAAUGCGUGGAGAUCAAGAGGAACACUCGUGGCGAAAGCGAGCUACUGGACAUUUACUGACGCUGAGGCUCGAAGGCCAGGGUAGCGAAAGGG
RNAcentral lists this unclassified non-coding RNA (253 nucleotides) under uncultured Verrucomicrobiota bacterium. RNAcentral describes it as "uncultured Verrucomicrobia bacterium contains 16S-23S intergenic spacer region". It matches the Rfam family "Bacterial small subunit ribosomal RNA", at positions 524 to 776 of the family's 1533-position model. Lineage: Bacteria; Pseudomonadati; Verrucomicrobiota. The record is from RNAcentral.